RNAcentral lists this transfer RNA (66 nucleotides) under Hyperolius marmoratus (marbled rush frog). RNAcentral describes it as "trnS (AGY)". The record is from RNAcentral. Lineage: Eukaryota; Metazoa; Chordata; Amphibia; Anura; Hyperoliidae.
GAGCAUGUUUAGAAUAUUGAAAACUGCUAAUUUUCAUAACCCCGGUUCAAUUCCGUGGCCUGCUCG